AUCGCUUCUCGGCCUUUUGGCUAAGAUCAAGUGUAGUAUAUCCAUUUGAAUGUAAGUAUAUGUAAAUAUGCACUAUAUAUUUAAAGAGAUACACAAAGCUUUAAUAUUCCUCAAUCCUAAAUAUCUUCGUAUUGGCC
RNAcentral lists this small nuclear RNA (137 nucleotides) under Ursus thibetanus thibetanus. Its description in RNAcentral is "U2 spliceosomal RNA (ENSUTTG00000000726.1)". It matches the Rfam family "U2 spliceosomal RNA". From Rfam's summary of the family: U2 is a small nuclear RNA (snRNA) component of the spliceosome (involved in pre-mRNA splicing). The record is from RNAcentral. Lineage: Eukaryota; Metazoa; Chordata; Mammalia; Carnivora; Ursidae.